Molecule: non-coding RNA, 35 nt
Organism: Myotis davidii
Lineage: Eukaryota; Metazoa; Chordata; Mammalia; Chiroptera; Vespertilionidae
Source: Rfam
CUGUCUCUUGCUUCAACAGUGUUUGGACUGAACAA